UGAGGAAUAUUGGUCAAUGGACGAGAGUCUGAACUAGCCAAGUAGCGUGAAGGAUGACUGCCCUAUGGGUUGUAAACUUCUUUUAUACGGGAAUAAAGUGAGGCACGUGUGCCUUUUUGUAUGUACCGUAUGAAUAAGGAUCGGCUAACUCCGUGCCAGCAGCCGCGGCAAUACGGAGGAUCCGAGCGUUAUCCGGAUUUAUUGGGUUUAAAGGGAGCGUAGGUGGAUUGUUAAGUCAGUUGUGAAAGUUUGCGGCUCAACCGUAAAAUUGCAGUUGAAACUGGCAGUCUUGAGUACAGUAGGGGUGGGCGGAAUUCGUGGUGUAGCGGUGAAAUGCUUAGAUAUCACGAAGAACUCCGAUUGCGAAGGCAGCUCACUGGACUGCAACUGACACUGAUGCUCGAAAGUGUGGGUAUCAAACAGG
Molecule: ribosomal RNA, 424 nt
Filed under: uncultured bacterium
Lineage: Bacteria
Description: bacterial SSU rRNA
Rfam family: Bacterial small subunit ribosomal RNA
Source: RNAcentral